RNAcentral lists this ribosomal RNA (465 nucleotides) under uncultured bacterium. RNAcentral describes it as "partial 16S ribosomal RNA". It matches the Rfam family "Bacterial small subunit ribosomal RNA", at positions 338 to 795 of the family's 1533-position model. The record is from RNAcentral.
CCUACGGGCGGCAGUAGUGGGGAAUAUUGCGAAAUGGGCGAAAGCCUGACGCAGCGACGCCGCGUGAGGGAUGAAGGUCUUCGGAUCGUAAACCUCUGUCAGCAGGGAAGAACGGUCACUGUGCUAAUCAGCAGUGAAUUGACGGUACCUGCAAAGGAAGCACCGGCUAACUCCGUGCCAGCAGCCGCGGUAAUACGGAGGGUGCGAGCGUUAAUCGGAAUUACUGGGCGUAAAGCGCUCGUAGGCGGUAUGUCAAGUCAAGGGUGAAAUCCCCGCGCUCAACGUGGGAACUGCCUUUGAAACUGGCAGACUGGAGUGUGUGAGAGGAUAGUGGAAUUCCAGGUGUAGGGGUGAAAUCCGUAGAUAUCUGGAGGAACAUCAGUGGCGAAGGCGACUAUCUGGCACAUAACUGACGCUGAGGAGCGAAAGCGUGGGUAGCAAACAGGAUUAGAUACCCGGGUAGUC